Molecule: long non-coding RNA, 150 nt
Filed under: Piliocolobus tephrosceles (Ugandan red Colobus)
Lineage: Eukaryota; Metazoa; Chordata; Mammalia; Primates; Cercopithecidae
Description: lncRNA (ENSPTEG00000005003.1)
Source: RNAcentral
CGCGGGACGGCAAAACCAUCCAAUGGGAAGAGGCGAUUCGCGGAGAUUGGCACUGAAGAUGGGAAGGUAAAUGCUGUUGAGUGUUUGAAGACAAGUGAUUUUUGCCUUUGCUGGAGAGAAGAGAGGAUUAUCAUAUUUACAUCUUAACUU